AGUGAACGCUGGCGGUAUGCCUAACACAUGCAAGUCGAACGGCAGCACAGUAAGAGCUUGCUCUUACGGGUGGCGAGUGGCGGACGGGUGAGGAAUACAUCGGAAUCUACUUUUUCGUGGGUGAUAACGUAGAGAAACUUACGCUAAUACCGCAUACGACCUACGGCUGAAAGCAGGGGAUCUUCGUACCUUUCGCGAUUGACUGAGCCGAUGUCGGAUUAGCUAGUUGGCGGGGUAAAGUCCCACCAAGGCGACGAUCCGUAGCUGGUCUGAGAGGAUGAUCAGCCACACUGGAACUGAGACACGGUCCAGACUCCUACGGGAGGCAGCAGUGGGGAAUAUUGGACAAUGGGCGCAAGCCUGAUCCAGCCAUACCGCGUGGGUGAAGAAGGCCUUCGGGUUGUAAAGCCCUUUUGUUGGGAAAGAAAAGCAGCAGGUUAAUACCUCGCUGUUCUGACGGUACCCAAAGAAUAAGCACCGGCUAACUUCGUG
Molecule: ribosomal RNA, 492 nt
Filed under: uncultured bacterium
Lineage: Bacteria
Description: partial 16S ribosomal RNA
Rfam family: Bacterial small subunit ribosomal RNA
Source: RNAcentral